RNAcentral lists this small RNA (2416 nucleotides) under Pongo abelii (Sumatran orangutan). Its description in RNAcentral is "processed transcript". Lineage: Eukaryota; Metazoa; Chordata; Mammalia; Primates; Hominidae. The record is from RNAcentral.
AAAGCCGACGUGAAGGUGAUGCGCGGGAGCACAGAUCCGGGGCAGUGCGCUGCGCAGACGCGCGCGGCGAAGCCGAGUGGGCGCGGGAGUGACGUCACGGCGCGCGACGCGGGGGCGGGGUCGGGCCUGGGUCAGACUGUGGUGGGUAGCGGGUCCCGGGUUGCGGGUUGCAAGUUGCAAGCCGCAAGCCGCAGGCCCCAGGCAACUGCCUUCCCGGCGCCAUGUUCGGCUCCAGUCGCGGAGGCGUGCGCGGCGGGCAGGACCAGUUCAACUGGGAGGACGUGAAGACUGACAAGCAGCGGGAGAACUACCUGGGUGGGUGCGCGCGGUGGGCGGGCUCCGGGCUCCGGGAUCCCGGGCGGGCGCUGGACUUACAGCGUCUACGUCCGCAGGCAACUCGCUGAUGGCGCCCGUAGGCCGCUGGCAGAAGGGCCGCGACCUCACCUGGUACGCCAAGGGCCGGGCGCCGUGCGCGGGCCCGAGCCGCGAGGAGGAACUGGCAGCCGUGCGGGAGGCGGAGCGCGAGGCGCUGCUGGCCGCCCUUGGCUACAAGAACGUGAAGAAGCAACCCACGGGCCUGAGCAAGGAGGACUUCGCGGAGGUCUGCAAGCGGGAAGGAGGCGACCCCGAGGAGAAGGGCGUGGACCGGCUGCUGGGGCUGGGGAGCGCCAGGUGCGGGCGGGUUUCCAGGGGAGGGCAGGACUGGGCUCGAUUGCUCGGGUGAGGCGGGCCCCUGUCGUACUGUCUUCAUCGCCGUGUCCCUGCAGUGGCUCCGUGGGCCGCGUGGCGAUGUCCCGAGAGGAUAAGGAGGCCGCCAAACUGGGGCUGUCUGUGUUCACGGUAAUCCCCCGCCCCGCCUGACCGCAGCAGGGGCCAACGAGUGGGGCGGGGCGGGGGCACUGAACGGAGCUCCCCGGGGCGCUGCGGAGCGUGGUGUGGGGCCGGCCCGCAGACUCCUCCGCAGAGCUCUCUUCUCCUGCAGCAUCACCGCGUAGAGAGCGGCGGGCCCGGGACCUCGGCAGCCUCGGCCAGGAGGAAGCCGCGGGCGGAGGAUCAGAGGGAAAGCAGGUGAGGCUGCGCCAACUGGGCGAGCUGCGCCCCGGGGUGGGGGGUCUCGGGAGGACUGGAGCGGCUCCCGCUCGGGCAGGUGGCAGCUUCUCUUGGCGCACCGGCCCGGCCGGUGGCCUGCCCUACUUUACUUCCUGUCCCACUUACUCCUAGGUUUUUCUCUAGGGGAGUUUCUCGGGGCACCCUUGAAGAGAGGUCCUAAGUACUGGCAUGGUCGGGGGCAGUGCCGUGGGAGGGCACACAGGACCUGGGGCGGGGCCUUUUCCUGCCGUGGGUGACACUUCCAGGGCUUCUCCCGGGUGGUGAGCCUGGGCCUGACCCCAAGAGUGGCCUGGUGGGUGCGGGUAGGAAGGUGUCAACCCGCCAAGGGCACGGCUGGGGUGGGGCAGGGCCGUGCUGUGGAGAUGGGGCUGUUGCAUCUGUUUAUAACCCACAUAGCCACUGGCCACGUGACUACGUAACUGAGGAGUGGAAUUUGUAGUCUGAUUUAACUGAUUUAAAGACGCACUUGUGGGUGGUGGCUUCAUCUCCUGGAUGGGGCCUGCUUGUGUUCACUCUCUUGGCCUGCAAGACUUGGGUCUGAGGCACACCUUGUAUCCUCCUUGUAGUUGUGAGAGCCACAGGAAAAGCAAGAAGGAGAAGAAGAAAAAGAAAAAGAGAAAACACAAGAAACAGAAGAAGAAGAAAGACAAAGAACACAGGCGGCCAGCUGAGGCCACCUCCUCUCCCACAUCUCCUGAGAGGUAUGCCCUGGUCCAUGUCUGCCUCUUGGGGGUGGGGGCCUGGUUGACUCCUUCCGAGUGACUGCCAUUGGUCUCCCCAGGCCCAGGUACCACCACGACUCCGACUCCAACUCCCCCUGCUGUAAGAGGAGGAAGCGGGGACACAGUGGGGACAGGAGGAGCCCGUCGCGCAGGUGGCAUGACAGAGGCUCUGAGGCCUGAUGGCUGGACCCUGCUCACUGCUAUUGUGGGACCCUGAACCCUCUCUUCACCUUGCUUGCCUCCUGCCUCGGAAGCUCCUCGGGUGUGGGUGAAGCCCGAGGCUGCUCCUGUGGAAGUGGCUCUGGGCACCAGCCUGUGGGGCUAAAGACUUGACAGCUAGCUCUGGAGCAGCCAGCUUCCUGGAAAACCUCCAGGUUUCGCAUAGCAGGGGAUGGCCCCUGGCUUGCCUUGCGAAGGUGAACCUGCCCAGACGUACCAGUAGAGGCUGGACUCCCUCUGUCCUGCCCAUGGCUGCAGCAGCCAUGGGCCUAUGAGCGGUCUAACUGUGGCCAAGUAUGGUGACCUCUAUUUUUCUUUAUAUUGACUCUUUGUAUUUCAAUAAACAUAUUUUAAAAGGAAGGUAU